UACGUAGGGUGCAAGCGUUGUCCGGAAUCAUUAGGCGUAAAGCGCGCGUAGGUGGCCAUUUAAGUCCGCUGUGAAAGUCAAAGGCUCAACCUUUGAAAGCCGGUGGAUACUGGAUGGCUAGAGUACGGAAGAGGCGAGUGGAAUUCCUGGUGUAGCGGUGGAAUGCGCAGAUAUCAGGAGGAACACCAAUAGCGAAGGCAGCUCGCUGGGACGUUACUGACACUGAGGCGCGAAAGCGUGGGGAGCGAACAGG
This 253-nucleotide ribosomal RNA is filed under the name uncultured bacterium. Its description in RNAcentral is "partial 16S ribosomal RNA". It matches the Rfam family "Bacterial small subunit ribosomal RNA", at positions 524 to 776 of the family's 1533-position model. The record is from RNAcentral.